RNAcentral lists this small RNA (302 nucleotides) under Drosophila erecta. Its description in RNAcentral is "GG20491". The record is from RNAcentral. Lineage: Eukaryota; Metazoa; Arthropoda; Insecta; Diptera; Drosophilidae.
AACUAAAUUCAUAAUAAAUCACUUUGUGUCGAAAUUCCAAGCGAGUAACAACGAUUUUGGCUGGAGUAAAAAUUUCUCUGCGAUUUGUUCCAAAUUCGUGUGAAAAUGCCCGCAAAGAAGGAUUCGAGCAAGGGUGCCAAGAAAGGGGCUGCCGCUCCUGCUGGGGCGAAACCGACCGCCGAUCCUGUGACUUCCGGAUCCACUACCGCUGCGGAGCCAGCCGCCAAGGAAGCCAAGGGCACCAAGAAGGGCAAAGGCAAGAAGAAGUAACGUUCCUAGCUGGUUUGGUGGCACUAACGUGA